This is a long non-coding RNA of Cornus florida, 1648 nucleotides long. RefSeq lists it as uncharacterized. The transcript has 8 exons. The record is from RefSeq and is a predicted model, not a curated record. NCBI's taxonomy places the organism in Eukaryota, Viridiplantae, Streptophyta, Magnoliopsida, Cornales, Cornaceae.
AAUUUAUACAUACACAUAUCAAAUCCCUAAAUUGAAAACCAAAUCCCUAAACUGAAAAUCCCAAAUCCCUAAACUGAAAAUCAAAUCCAUAGCAAAACUCACACAACCAACAAAAUACAUAAUCAAAUCUUGAUACCAUACUUAUCCAACCAACCAAAUCUAUAACCAGAUUCACAAAGAAAACAAAAUCCAUAACCACGAAAACUUGCUACAGAAAAAGGAGUGUGAUUUGUGUUUACCUCAACAAAAUCUGAGCAAGAGUUAGAUCUAGAGGAGAGAAGUGGGCGCAGCGAUCUUACAAGAGAAGCGGUGGACAGGAGAGAGAAGCCGUAGAGAUGAGAGAGAAGCGGAUAAGCAGUAGAAAGGAGAGAGAAGCAGAGAAGCCGUAGGUCUGUUAUGUCCGAGAGCUGCUUCCCGUUUUUUUUUAAGUGCACAAUGUUCUCCGCAUUGCUUCUUCAUGUUUUUAGAAACUCCCUUGUUUUCACAAAACUGAUACUCAUUGAACUCAGUUUUAUGAAAACAUUUCCAUAAAACAGGUUCCAAGUAGACAAAAAAAUGAACGAACUGUUUUUUGUAACUCCCAAAACAGAAAACUGUUUUGGGAGAACCAUUCCAAGCAGGGCCUUAAAAUUGGCGGCUUUCCAAGCGUGCGAAAUUCCUAAUAUUCCUCCCAAAUUCGCAUCGAAACCCUAAUCCUAGCUCUAAGCCCAAAUUUCUCGAGUUUCACCUUCAGAUCAAGGAAAAUAACCAGCAUGGCGGAUUAGUCUAAGCUCCCAAAUUCGCACACAUCGAUCCUCAACCAAAAUCCACACGAAACCCUAGUCCAAACCAGAUUGAGGAAAAUAACCCAUGUUCAAGAUUAUCAUCUUUUUUUGGGAUACCUGGGUGUGCUUUUUUUGGGAUACACUAUUUGGUUUACAUGCAGGGCUGGAAUAAGCUUUCAUUUAUGAGUUUUACUUAAAUGAUGCUUAAGGAUUAUCUAGUAAAAGAUGUGGACUGCAUUUAAAGCACGAUGAACAGGAUUUCGAUCCGUGCUACUACUAAACCAAGUUUGUAGGUCCUGCCAACUUUUGCUGCUCUAUUUUCCCAUUGACCUGAAUUUCAAAUUUCUCAGCUACCACGGUUGCGUUUUGUAUUCAUGUAUCUUGAAAGGGGUUAAGAUUUGAUCCACGUCUUUUAUUGCACGGACAACAAUACAUAGAAAUUUACAAGGCACUUCCUUCUAGUGGUUGUCCUAACAUCAUCAGACUUAAGUUGAGAGCGAGCUUCAGUCUUAUUAACUACCAGUUUUUUCUGAAAGAUUAAUGGCCUAAGACAAUUAAUGUUAUGUUUAGCUGCUUGGAGUCUUGCCUUGAAUGCUUUGGAGGGAAAGUUUUUGCAAUCUAAGCGUGAUGGGAAAUGCCUUGGUUGUGUUGGUAUCGAAACUUUUCUAAUCCUUGUACAGAUGGUAACAAUGAAGGGAACUUUGUAAUCUUUAAUGAAUAUAAAAUAAAUUUGGGAUCUAUUUGUUUGUGAUUAGUGGGAAGUAGAUGUAAAUUUUCAUUUUUAUAUGACUUGAACUCUUUUUCAUCUUGUAUCAUAUUGUUUGUAUAAGGCUUGGUGUGGAUAUAUAUACCUUUGGGUGGAUUUAUUGUUGUGUUUAGUUGUA